This 244-nucleotide ribosomal RNA is filed under the name uncultured bacterium. Its description in RNAcentral is "partial 16S ribosomal RNA". It matches the Rfam family "Bacterial small subunit ribosomal RNA", at positions 89 to 334 of the family's 1533-position model. The record is from RNAcentral.
CGGCGAGCGGCGGACGGGUGAGGAACACAUCGGAAUCUACCCUGUCGUGGGGGACAACGUAGGGAAACUUACGCUAAUACCGCAUACGACCUUUGGGUGAAAGCGGGGGACCCGCAAGGGCCCCGCGCGAUUGGAUGAGCCGAUGUCCGAUUAGCUAGUUGGCGGGGUAAUGGCCCACCAAGGCGACGAUCGGUAGCUGGUCUGAGAGGACGACCAGCCACACUGGAACUGAGACACGGUCCAG